This 72-nucleotide transfer RNA is filed under the name Bos taurus (domestic cattle). It matches the Rfam family "tRNA". From Rfam's summary of the family: Transfer RNA (tRNA) molecules are approximately 80 nucleotides in length. Their secondary structure includes four short double-helical elements and three loops (D, anti-codon, and T loops). Lineage: Eukaryota; Metazoa; Chordata; Mammalia; Artiodactyla; Bovidae. The record is from Rfam by way of RNAcentral. RNAcentral also lists the same sequence under 6 other names.
UCCCUUGUAGCUCAGUUGGUAAAGAAUCUGCCUACAAUGCAGGAGACCCGGGUUUGAUUCCUGGGUUGGGAA